UGCAAUUCAAAGUAUUAAAUAUCCUUAAUUGUGCCGAACCAGCAAUAGGAACCACUGCAUAUGUUUUCUACAAGUGUUGUAAUUUUAUAAGAAUGAAUCGGGCAGAAUCCGGCAGGAAUCGAACACAGGCUUCCGCAAUGACUGCAGGACGAUUUUCCACACUGGUGAAUCGAAUUAUAAAAAUCGGUUUCGGAGCCAUCAUGCUCAAGGAAAAUAGAUAAUUGAGAAUUAUGCUACAGGAAACCUUGAAGGUAACAGUUACUAGGGGACAUAAAGUGGAAUAGUGAGAAUUCCAUGCCCAUAAAAAUAAUUUUUUUUUAAAAUACUUUGUUUAUCAUUUGAAAAAAAUUAUUAUUAAAAAUAAUAGAGAA
Molecule: long non-coding RNA, 371 nt
Organism: Belonocnema kinseyi
Lineage: Eukaryota; Metazoa; Arthropoda; Insecta; Hymenoptera; Cynipidae
Exons: 3
Source: RefSeq, a predicted model, not a curated record